GACGAACGCUGGCGGCGUGCCUAAUACAUGCAAGUCGACCUUAGUGGCGAACGGGUGAGUUACACGUGGGUAACCUGACCAUCCGGAGGGGAUAACACUUGGAACCAGGUGAUAAUACCGAAUAUUGAUGGAUGGACCCGCGGUGCAUUAGCUAGUUGGUGAGGUAAAGGCUCACCAAGACCACGAUGCAUAGCCGACCUGAGAGGGCGAUCGGACACAUUGGGACGGAGACACGGCCCAAACUCCUACGGGAGGCAGCAGUAGGGAAUCUUCGGCAAUGGACGAAAGUCUGACCGAGCAACGCCGCGUGAGUGAAGAAGGUUUUCGGAUCGUAAAACUCUGUUGUUAGAGAAGCGGUAUCUAACCAGAAAGCCACGGCUAACUACGUGCCAGCAGCCGCGGUAAUAC
Molecule: ribosomal RNA, 408 nt
Filed under: uncultured bacterium
Lineage: Bacteria
Description: partial 16S ribosomal RNA
Rfam family: Bacterial small subunit ribosomal RNA
Source: RNAcentral